CACACCGCCCGUCAAGCCAUGGGAGUAUGUUGUACCAGAAGCGGGUAGACUAACCUUCGGGAGGUCGCUCACCACGGUAUGAUAUAUGACUGGGGCU
Molecule: ribosomal RNA, 97 nt
Filed under: uncultured bacterium
Lineage: Bacteria
Description: partial 16S ribosomal RNA
Rfam family: Bacterial small subunit ribosomal RNA
Source: RNAcentral